Molecule: long non-coding RNA, 978 nt
Filed under: Lepisosteus oculatus (spotted gar)
Lineage: Eukaryota; Metazoa; Chordata; Actinopteri; Semionotiformes; Lepisosteidae
Description: lncRNA (ENSLOCG00000022394.1)
Source: RNAcentral
UUCAGAACUGCAAGGCAAAAACGGUAAUGUGCAUGUUUUGUUAUGAUUGUAGAAGGUGCAGACGAGAGUCUUUGCAAAACGUUCAGGGUUCAGUCUGCUCGGCUAUAGGGACGAUCUCCUGGCCUUGUGAGUGAAGAAGUUGGACACCCUGCCUAAACGGAAAGGGUGCCGCACUGAUGGUGCAGUUGGAGCUGGUGGGAGGGUAUCAGAAUGAACAAAGCCUGGAAUGGGUCUCGAACAGGGGGACCCGGUAGGUUUAUUACAAAGUGCUACUCAGAUGUUCAAGUAGAAAGCUAUGGCAGCAUACAUAGACUGCAAAGGGACAAGUGAAGGUUUACCUCAUACUGAAGGGAAAAGAAACAACGUUUCGGCUGUGGCCUUCUUAAGGUGUGAGGGAGAGAAGGGAAAGUUGCAGACAAAUGAAGCACAGGAGAACAAAGGACAGAGUGGUUAAGGAAAAGGGGGUGAGCAGGUGAGAAUGAGUGUCCAGACGCAGGGAGAGCAGGAGGAGAGGUGUGAAAAGCCAGAAUCGGGAUUUAAAGCCUUUGUCGGACUACAGGAGAGUCGGAGAGCGUGUCAAAUUUACCGACUGCAGUUGCUGAAUCUCGCUGCCUUUUCUGUCCUAGAGGGCGUUAAAUUCUACGACUGGGAACCGCAGGGGGUGACUAAUCACAUGACAAUCCCUCAGGACUUUUCAUCACGGUUCCAAAUCUCGUGUUGCGUGGUGAAAGUACUGCGAGGUCGCCUCGUUUUGGAAGCCAAUCAACGUGGAGCACCCCGGAAUAAGAGGAGGAGCACCCCACGAAGCCCAGAUGAUAAAGAGGGGGUCACCACUGUUUUGAUGCCCUGGAGCUUCCCAGUGUCCUAGCAUGCCUGGGCGGGCCCUGGACUACCACACUGCCGCCACGGCAACCGGAUCCCAACAUUCCGCCCUCAGAAGCAUACGGUAGGGUAAUAAAGCCUUACAUCACUGCCAUC